GUCCCUAUAGUGCAAUGGAUAGCGCGUUGGACUUCUAAUCCAAAGGGUUCGAAUCCCAAUUGGGAUA
Non-coding RNA from Trichonephila inaurata madagascariensis, 67 nucleotides. Lineage: Eukaryota; Metazoa; Arthropoda; Arachnida; Araneae; Nephilidae. The record is from the annotation of a GenBank genome assembly.